UGGGGAAUUUUGCACAAUGGGGGAAACCCUGAUGCAGCGACGCCGCGUGAUUAAGAAGGCCUUCGGGUUGUAAAAAUCUUUUCUAUGGGAAGAAAAUGACAGUACCAUAGGAAUAAGGACCGGCUAAUUACGUGCCAGCAGCCGCGGUAAUACGUAAGGUCCGAGCGUUGUCCGGAAUCAUUGGGCGUAAAGGGUACGUAGGCGGGUAAGCAAGUUAGAAGUGAAAUCCUAUAGCUCAACUAUAGUAAGCUUUUAAAACUGCUCAUCUUGAGGUAUGGAAGGGAAAGUGGAAUUCCUAGUGUAGCGGUGAAAUGCGCAGAUAUUAGGAGGAAUACCGGUGGCGAAGGCGACUUUCUGGCCAUAACCUGACGCUGAGGUACGAAAGCGUGGGUAGCAAACAGG
RNAcentral lists this ribosomal RNA (402 nucleotides) under bacterium. Its description in RNAcentral is "partial 16S ribosomal RNA". It matches the Rfam family "Bacterial small subunit ribosomal RNA", at positions 355 to 776 of the family's 1533-position model. The record is from RNAcentral.